Hyla sarda is the source of this 128-nucleotide small nucleolar RNA. RefSeq annotates it as small nucleolar RNA SNORD22. The transcript has a single exon. Lineage: Eukaryota; Metazoa; Chordata; Amphibia; Anura; Hylidae. The record is from RefSeq and is a predicted model, not a curated record.
CCCUUAUGAUGAAACCUUCACAUGUCCGACCUCCUGAAUGGUGCCAGAGCCUGAAAAGGUGAACCCACUGGUAUCAUCAGGAGGAGAGGAUGGAGGCCAUGUUCCAGCAGGAACGGUCUGACAAGGGU